Molecule: ribosomal RNA, 743 nt
Filed under: Burkholderia cenocepacia
Lineage: Bacteria; Pseudomonadati; Pseudomonadota; Betaproteobacteria; Burkholderiales; Burkholderiaceae
Description: bacterial SSU rRNA
Rfam family: Bacterial small subunit ribosomal RNA
Source: RNAcentral
UUGAACUGAAGAGUUUGAUCCUGGCUCAGAUUGAACGCUGGCGGCAUGCCUUACACAUGCAAGUCGAACGGCAGCACGGGUGCUUGCACCUGGUGGCGAGUGGCGAACGGGUGAGUAAUACAUCGGAACAUGUCCUGUAGUGGGGGAUAGCCCGGCGAAAGCCGGAUUAAUACCGCAUACGAUCUACGGAUGAAAGCGGGGGACCUUCGGGCCUCGCGCUAUAGGGUUGGCCGAUGGCUGAUUAGCUAGUUGGUGGGGUAAAGGCCUACCAAGGCGACGAUCAGUAGCUGGUCUGAGAGGACGACCAGCCACACUGGGACUGAGACACGGCCCAGACUCCUACGGGAGGCAGCAGUGGGGAAUUUUGGACAAUGGGCGAAAGCCUGAUCCAGCAAUGCCGCGUGUGUGAAGAAGGCCUUCGGGUUGUAAAGCACUUUUGUCCGGAAAGAAAUCCUUGGCUCUAAUACAGUCGGGGGAUGACGGUACCGGAAGAAUAAGCACCGGCUAACUACGUGCCAGCAGCCGCGGUAAUACGUAGGGUGCAAGCGUUAAUCGGAAUUACUGGGCGUAAAGCGUGCGCAGGCGGUUUGCUAAGACCGAUGUGAAAUCCCCGGGCUCAACCUGGGAACUGCAUUGGUGACUGGCAGGCUAGAGUAUGGCAGAGGGGGUAGAAUUCCACGGUGUAGCAGUGAAAUGCGUAGAGAUGUGGAGGAAUACCGAUGGCGAAGGCAGCCCCCUGGGCC